AAAUGGAGGAUGAAGCUCCACAGAAGUGUUUUCCAUCUUCCAGGUGAAGCUGGACCAUCAGGACCUCCUGAGGACAGAGAUGGAUCCGGGACGCCUCCCUCUGCCGUCUCCAGGCGGCUGUGCAGCUGCGUCUCACACCUCAUCCGGAGCCUCGGAGAUCUCACAGAGAUCCACCGAGUAAAGUUUGGAGGAAACGACCCCGGAGUGUCCUGGCUGACCCCCCCCCCAUCCCUCUACACCAACCUCCUCCGGCCAAGCAAAGCCCGCUAUCAGAGGAUGACAUGAAACACCACGCUGCCGGGCAUCCUCCUCUUCCUCCUCCUCCUCCUCCUCUGGAGCAAACGCAUCACUGGACGCCAGAAAGGAGCGCCGCUUCCUCCCUGAGAUUCUUCCCAGAAGAUGCCAGGGAUUAAAGGAAGAGGAGACUGCAGGACACCGCCGUGUCACCUAGCAUUAAACACCACUAAACUCUCCGGUUAUGAGAUACUCGCUCCAGAAAUGGGUCAGAACACGAAAAAAAACGGAGAUCUACCCGUUUUCAUCCAUUCUUCCAUCCGCUGACUCUAAUGCCUUGUGGAUGAAAAAUAGCUUUUCUAAGGAAAAUAAUAAUUUUAAGUCUUUUGUUAUUAUUAAACCUUUAUUUAACCAGCUGAGCUAUUAAGAACAUGUUCUUUUUUUUACAAU
Long non-coding RNA from Oryzias melastigma (Indian medaka), 684 nucleotides. RefSeq lists it as uncharacterized. NCBI's taxonomy places the organism in Eukaryota, Metazoa, Chordata, Actinopteri, Beloniformes, Adrianichthyidae. The record is from RefSeq and is a predicted model, not a curated record. The transcript is spliced from 4 exons.